Sapajus apella (tufted capuchin) is the source of this 2616-nucleotide long non-coding RNA. RefSeq lists it as uncharacterized. Lineage: Eukaryota; Metazoa; Chordata; Mammalia; Primates; Cebidae. The record is from RefSeq and is a predicted model, not a curated record. The transcript has 4 exons.
AUUGAUCGCUCGCUGCUCGUCUGAUCCGACGGAGAGCCUGGAGGAGCGCCGAGUAAUCGAUGCCGUCGCCCCGCCCCAUCCCGUUUAGAAAGGCACUGGAGACACUGGUAAUAACGGCCCCAUUUCAAAGAGGAGGACACUGAAGCCCAGGCAGAAGAAUGAGGUACAUGGCCAACUGGAGGGUUAGCAAGGUGAAGAGGUGCUCUAUUGAGCAACAGUAAAGCUCUCAGGAGACCUGAAGGUGCUAUUUAAAGGCAGAAGCAAAUGAUAAGUGACUCAGAAUGAGGGGCCACCUGGACGCUGCAGCCAGCGAGGAAAGGACAGAGUGUCGUUCUAGUCCAGCGCACCAAAAGCUGGGCAUGUGCCGACUAGCGAGUAAUUGGGUCCUGGCAUGGUGAUUUGCAUGUGGGAAACUGCUAAAAUAUUCAUGUACUUGACUGUGUCUCUUCCAAUUAGAUGUAAUAAAUGCAGAUUUGGUGGCCAUAUGUUUUAUUUUGAUGUAAUGGUUUUAACCUUUAUGGAGCGUGUGUGUGUGUGUGCACGUGCGCAUGUGUCUGUGUAGUUCCCCAGUUUUCUAAGGCUGGCCUGAUUUGAAACACGCUGGCAUGUUUAAGAUGCAAUUUGAUUAGAUUAUUAUUAGAGACUCCUUCUUGGGUUUGGAAGAACGGGCGGUAUUAGCUUUCUAUUUUGACUUCUACUGCAUUUAUUUAUUCCUUUCUUCUCUCCUGUGUUCCCCCCUUUCUUUCUGCCCUCUUUCUGCCCUUCUUCUCUUGCCUUUCCUGCCCUUCUCCCUCCCUAACCCAGCCUCUUGAGCAACUGGAUUAAUCUCCCUAAGCCUCAGCUUCCUCACCUGUAAGAUAGGGAUAACAAUACAUUUUCAUGAGGAGUAAUGAAGAUAGUGUAUCUGAAACAUUUAGCCCAAUAUUUGGCACGUAGUAAGUGCUCAGUACGUGGCAGCUGUUGUUAUUAAUAUCAGCAGCGGGAAUCGCAGCAGGUUACCUAACCUUUCUGAACCUCAGUUUAUCCAUCCGAAAAAUAGGCUCAUGUUAUUCCUUUCCCCAGAUUGUUGUGGUGUCUGCUGUUUGUAUUAGGUGCUCAGUGAAUGAAUAAAGAAUGAAUGAACGAAUUUUGGAACUCAUUGUGAAUUAGUUAGAGUAGAACCUCUGCAGUAACGUACUAUCCCCAAAUUUCAGUGGCCUGACAUAUUACAUUGAUUUGUCCCUCCCAUCACAUCCUGACGUGGAUGGAAAGGAGUCUCUGCUCCAUGCAGUCAUUCAGGGCCCCAAACUUUUUCCAUCUGAGAGUUCAAUCUCUGCAGAAGUCUCCAAGUCCUCUUCCUUCAGCCCAUGAUUGAGGAAAGAUAAUGGCAGAUCUCAUGUGGGAGGUUGUUAUGUGACAGGCCAGGCAAUGGUCAGUUCUGUUACCAUUCCAUUUGUCUCUCGGUAUGUUCCUGACCACAAGCGAGGCUGGGAGCUGGGUGCCUAGGACAGCGAGGAGGACAGGCAGGACUUCACCCUGGAUUUAGGUUUCUAGAAACCACAAGGCAGGCAAAAACUUGGUCACCUGCUUCUGAGACUCACAAAAAAGAUAACAAAUGAGUCUGAUUUGAUGUCAUAAACGGGUUGCAGAGGCAGGGAAGGCUGAACAAGGGAGAAAAGUGAGAAGCAGGUGGGGGACAGAGGGAGCCUUGCCUGUCUUCUAUGUCCUGGAGUCCUGGCCAUCAGAGCCACACAGUGUAUCUGUCCUUCUUCUUCUCCUCUCCCUCUGUCCUUGUCCAUUUUCUCUUUUGGAAUCUAUUAUUAGUGAGCUCCACCAUUGUUUUUUCUGAUUGCAUUAAAAUGCCACCAAGAUACAUGCUCUGCAGUAUGCCACUUCAGUCCUAAGUGGGGCAUUUUUGCUAGAUGGAUCGAUUUUUUUAAAUGACAGCAUCUGUUUGCUUGUACACAUUUAUUUAUAAUUCUUCCCCUGACAAUUAGAGUGGGGGAAUCGGUGAGUGGUAACCAGCUGUUGGGAUUAGCGGGGAAGGGAGGCAGUGAUUUGAUCUGUGAAGGAGCAGCAAAGCCCCGACCAAAAGCAGUAAAAGUGGAACAGAUGCCCCCAAAUACACAAGCUCGGGGAGGGACCGAUAAAUCACAUGCGCUGCCAGCUGCAAUCCCAGAGAGACACCAGAUGAGCUGGGUGAGCCGGAGAAGCUCAUGAGAGUCAGGGGCUGUGUCUGGCCCUCCCUGGGACUCAAGGGGCUUGGUAGAUGGGGUGGAGGGCAGUGGAGUAGUGCAGAGUAGUGGACCUCGGUAAGCUGGACUCUCUGAUGAGUCUUUGUGUCACUCAGGUUGAAAUCCAGAGUGCUCACUAUGGUUUACCAUGGUGGCCCUAUCAACGUGGCCUCUGUUAUUCCUCUACCCUCUAUCUCGCUCUCUGCUGCCUCUCCAGGUGUGCACCAGCAGCUCUACCUCCAGCUACUCCUGUAACAUGCCAGAUGCUCCCCCUCCUGGGGGUCCCUCAGGCUCUGCUCUCCUCAUCCAUCCUCCAUCUCCAUGGGGCUCACUUUCUGACCUCCUUCAAAUCCGUGCUCAAAUGUGACUUCUUAGAACUCUUUCUUAUAAACUCCCUCUCCAA